This 238-nucleotide unclassified non-coding RNA is filed under the name Hevea brasiliensis (rubber tree). The record is from RNAcentral. Lineage: Eukaryota; Viridiplantae; Streptophyta; Magnoliopsida; Malpighiales; Euphorbiaceae.
UCAGUGGCUUCAUAUAGAGCUGAGGCAGGAAUUUGGUAAUUUGAUUGCUGCUGAUGCAAACUUUGAAAACUACUUCUGGAUUUAGAAGCUGACGUACUUGUAGCACCACUAGGAGAGAUUUCAGAAUCCCUGGUCUGUGAAAGAGCCCUCUCCUCUUCAGCGAGCCGAAACUCAUAGUAUUUGUAGUCUGAACAAGUCAUGUCAAAUAAAAAUUUAAAUGGUGUGUCUCCAGGGUUCU